UGACUUAUAAUAGGAUAAAACUUCAGCCGAGAGCUUUCCAACGACACCUCAUUGAGAAGUUUUUGGUCUGCUAUCACAUGUUAGUUUCAUCUUCGUCCAGUAAUUAGCUGAGUAUUUUUAAUACUAAAAUUUUUUAAAAGUAAAUUUAGAAAAAAUGAUUAUAAUUAUUGGAUAGAGAUAAGAAUGAUACGUGAGACCUUAACGAGAAGUUGUUGGAGAGCUGCUCACUAAAGUUUUAUGGUUAGCUCCACACGGCACGACUCUUUUCACUAUCACAUGUCCUUUUCCUCUCACUAUCUAAC
Molecule: long non-coding RNA, 302 nt
Filed under: Ananas comosus (pineapple)
Lineage: Eukaryota; Viridiplantae; Streptophyta; Magnoliopsida; Poales; Bromeliaceae
Description: long non-coding RNA (ACOM_LNC024938)
Source: RNAcentral